Mus musculus (house mouse) is the source of this 739-nucleotide RNA transcript. It is a transcript of the gene named predicted gene, 20819, with no coding region annotated. NCBI's taxonomy places the organism in Eukaryota, Metazoa, Chordata, Mammalia, Rodentia, Muridae. The record is from RefSeq and is marked validated. The transcript is spliced from 10 exons.
GAGGACCGUAUUCAUGGAAGAGGAUCGAACAGACUACUGAGUUCUUAUGAGAAGAAUGGCUCUUAAGAAAUUGAAGGUGAUACCAAAGGAAGGUUACUUAUUACUUUUGGACUUUGAUGAUGAGGACUAUGACAUAAAAGUUUCAGAGGAGGCUCUUUCGGAAGUAAAGAGCCCAGCAUUUGAUAAAAAUGAGAAUAUAUCGCCUCAAGCAGAAGCAGAUGAAGAUAUGGGAUACAGUAGACAGUAUAUUGGAUAAAUCUGAAGUAAAUAAUCCAGCAAUUGGUAAAGAUGAAAAUAUAUCGCCUCAAGUAAAAGGAGAUGAAGACAUGGGACAUGAAGUAGGCAGUAUGUUGGAUAAAUCUGGAGAUGACAUUUAUAAGACGCUUCACAUAAAGAGAAAAUGGAUGGAAACUUAUGUCAAAGAAUCUUUCAAAGGCAGCAACCAGAAAUUAGAAAGAUUUUGCAAAACGAACGAACGAGAGAGGAAGAACAUCAACAACAAAUUUUGUGAGCAGUAUAUAACUACAUUUCAGAAGUCUGAUAUGGAUGUACAGAAAUUCAAUGAAGAAAAAGAAAAAUCAGUGAAUAGUUGUCAAAAAGAACAACAAGCAUUGAAACUGUCCAAAUGUAGUCAGAACCAGACCCUGGAAGCAGUUAAAGAAAUGCAUGAGAAGUCCAUGGAGCUGCAUCAUUGGACAUAAACUGAAUUUUCCAUGUGUUGCCACUGAUGUGAGCCAUU